GACGAACGCUGGCGGCGUGCUUAACACAUGCAAGUCGAACGGAAAGGCCCUGCUUUUGUGGGGUGCUCGAGUGGCGAACGGGUGAGUAACACGUGAGUAACCUGCCCUUGACUUUGGGAUAACUUCAGGAAACUGGGGCUAAUACCGGAUAGGAGCUCCUGCUGCAUGGUGGGGGUUGGAAAGUUUCGGCGGUUGGGGAUGGACUCGCGGCUUAUCAGCUUGUUGGUGGGGUAGUGGCUUACCAAGGCUUUGACGGGUAGCCGGCCUGAGAGGGUGACCGGCCGCAUGGGGGUAGGGUGACGGCCCGGACUCCUGCGGGGGGCAGAAGGGGGGAUUGUUGCCCAAGGGCGGGGUGCCUGAGGCAGCAACCCCGGGGGGGGGAUGGCGGCCUUCGGGUGGGAAACAGCUUUCGCCUGGUACGAAGCGGGAGUGACGGUAAUGGGUAAAGAAGCACCGCCUAACUACGU
RNAcentral lists this ribosomal RNA (467 nucleotides) under uncultured bacterium. RNAcentral describes it as "partial 16S ribosomal RNA". It matches the Rfam family "Bacterial small subunit ribosomal RNA", at positions 28 to 506 of the family's 1533-position model. The record is from RNAcentral.